Small nuclear RNA from Peromyscus maniculatus bairdii (prairie deer mouse), 107 nucleotides. NCBI's taxonomy places the organism in Eukaryota, Metazoa, Chordata, Mammalia, Rodentia, Cricetidae. The record is from Ensembl.
GUGCUCACUUUAGCAGCACAUAUACUAAAUUUGGAAUGAUACAGAGAAGAUUAUCACAGCCUCUUUGCAAAGAUGAUACAUAAAUUUGUGAUACAUUCCAUAUUUUU